Pezoporus occidentalis (night parrot) is the source of this 4407-nucleotide RNA transcript. It is a transcript of the gene named N-deacetylase and N-sulfotransferase 4, with no coding region annotated. The record is from RefSeq and is a predicted model, not a curated record. The transcript has 15 exons. NCBI's taxonomy places the organism in Eukaryota, Metazoa, Chordata, Aves, Psittaciformes, Psittacidae.
GCGGGCAGGCAGGAGGGGAGGUGGUCCAACUGCACAAUGACAGAUUAUGCAAAUCCUCCUGGAGCAUCUAAUCAAUCACAGCAGCAGGAGAGGAAUGCAGCUCAUCUCCAAAUUAGCCUCUGUCAUCACAUCCUAGUCCUCACAUGAAGCAUCCCCCUUCGGCUGGAAUGACAUCAGAGCAGCUCAGGGUCCUUGAAAGUCUGAGGGUUGAUUAGCUGGAGGAAUUGGCUGCUUCUGCCAAUCACAACCCUGCAAAACCGCCUUGAUACUCUUGUAGAUAUGAGGGAGAGGAAGGCUGACUACAGCAAACAGGAGGCACAGCAGCAGCACCGGUAGUAGUAACGGGAGCAUACGAUAUUUGGGCGAUUAAAUAGUUCUCACAGCCUUUUUGCUGUAGCCUGGCUGCUCCACGGUGUAAUCCCCAGGUCCAAGAAGGAAGCUGCAUUUUUAACAGUGUGCUGAACAGAGGUUUGAAUCAUUCCAGCUGGCUGCUUGUUUUGAAAAGGACAGUCUGUGUAUAAAUGAGAUGUGACUGUACUGGCAGAGUUCAGUUACUGGGGCUGGAGCAAGAGGAAUCUUCCCAGGAUGCCGCUCAGACAGCUGCUAUCAAUUGAAAACUCUUCCUAGUUUACCUGGAGCCAUGUGAAGAGAUUUGAAUAGCAGAUGUCUCUUCCCUGCACGCUAGGAAGAGGAAUUCUUCUCUAGAUAAUGUUAAGAGUCCUCUUCAUUGAUUAUUGGCAGCUGCUGAUUUCUGACAAAACCUCUUUCAAUUUAGCUUUCUGGAUCCUUUGACUUCCUACUCCAACAGCUUUAUAACAUCCCUGACAGCUUCAUAAAUGCACUGCAAUGGUCACAUGAACAUCUUGGAAGGGGAAUUGGCACCUCUGCAUCUCCUUGUUCCUAUGGUACUUUAGGAGCAGAGAACCAAAAGAGCGGGAAGUUCAACAGAAGCUGAUCGUCCUGCGAAAGAUGAGUCUAAUUGUGAAGUUCCGCAGAAGUUUCAGAACAUUAGUCAUUCUUCUGGCAACCUUCUGCUUGGCAAGUAUUGUCAUUUCUGCCUAUUACCUCUACACCGGCUACAAGCAGGAAAUGGCCUUUGUGGAAACCACUGGAGAAGUAGAGUGUGAAGACCUCAAGCUUCUACCAUACAGGUCUGUGGAGCUGAAACAGGCUAAGCCAAUUGAUCCAUCUAAAACUGAUCCCACCGUCCUCCUGUUUGUGGAAAGCCAGUACUCCCAGCUGGGGCAAGACAUCAUAGCCAUCCUUGAGUCCAGCAGAUUUCAGUACCACAUGGUCAUUGCACCAACUAAGGGGGACAUUCCCCCUCUCACAGACAGUGGAAGAGGAAAAUACACUAUUGUUAUAUAUGAGAAUAUUUUAAAGUAUGUAUCCAUGGACUCAUGGAAUAGAGAGCUUCUGGAAAAAUACUGUGUGGAAUACAGUGUUAGCAUAAUUGGUUUUCAUAAAGCCAAUGAAAACAGCUCCCCCAGUACAAAAUUGAAAGGAUUGCCACUACAUCUUUACAAUAAUGUGGCCCUCAAAGACUGUAUGGUAAACUCUCAGUCUCCCCUGCUGCGCAUUACCAAAGCACCAAGGGUUGAGAAAGGUCCACUGCCUGGUGAAGACUGGACAGUUUUCCAGUUUAACCAUUCCACCUAUCAACCCGUGCUUUUAACCGAACUGCAGACCUCCAGGCCGCACCUUGCAGCAUUGCCAAAGGCUGCUCUGUAUGCAACUGUCAUCCAAGAUUUGGGGCUUCAUGAUGGGAUUCAGAGAGUCCUCUUUGGAAACAACUUGACCUUCUGGUUGCACAAACUGAUCUUUAUUGAUGCCAUCUCUUUCCUAUCCGGGAAGAAGCUCACCCUGUCCUUGGACCGGUAUAUUCUGGUUGACAUAGAUGACAUCUUUGUUGGGAAGGAGGGAACUAGGAUGAACAUCAAUGAUGUGAAGGCUUUACUAGAGACUCAAAAUUUACUGCGCACUCAGGUUGCAAAUUUUACCUUCAACCUUGGAUUUUCAGGAAAAUUUUACCACACAGGGACUGAGGAAGAAGAUGAAGGUGAUGACCUGCUGUUGAGAUCUGUGGAUGAGUUUUGGUGGUUUCCCCAUAUGUGGAGUCACAUGCAGCCUCACCUCUUCCACAAUGAGUCAUCACUGGUGGAGCAGAUGAUCCUCAACAGAGAAUUUGCAAUAGAGCAUGGCAUACCAACUGGCAUGGGAUACGCGGUGGCUCCACACCACUCUGGGGUUUACCCGGUUCACAUCCAGCUGUACGAGGCCUGGAAGAAGGUUUGGCACAUCCGAGUGACCAGCACAGAAGAAUACCCGCAUCUGAAGCCUGCACGGUACAGACGGGGCUUCAUCCACAAUGGCAUCAUGGUGCUCCCUCGACAGACCUGUGGCCUUUUCACUCAUACUAUUUUUUACAAGGAAUAUCCUGGGGGUCCUCAGGAGCUGGACAAAAGUAUCCAAGGAGGUGAACUCUUUCUCACCAUUCUCCUGAAUCCUAUCAGCAUCUUCAUGACCCAUUUAUCUAAUUAUGGGAACGAUCGCCUGGGCUUAUACACCUUUGUCAACCUGGCCAACUUUGUUAAAAGCUCAACUAACCUGAACCUGCAGACACUGCCCCCCGUUCAGCUGGCUCAGAAGUACUUUGAGCUCUUUCCAGAGCAGACAGACCCUCUUUGGCAGAACCCAUGUGAUGAUAAACGACAUAAGGAUAUUUGGUCAAGAGACAAAACUUGUGACCACCUACCCAAAUUUCUGGUGAUAGGACCCCAGAAAACAGGAACAACAGCCCUUUAUUUAUUUCUUCUGAUGCAUCCUUCCAUUAUCAGCAAUCUUCCUAGUCCAAAAACUUUUGAAGAAGUUCAGUUCUUCAAUGGAAACAACUAUCACAAGGGAAUUGACUGGUACAUGGAUUUCUUCCCCAUUCCUUCCAACACCACUGACCUUGUCUUCGAGAAAAGUGCCAACUAUUUCCAUUCUGAGGAUGCCCCUAAGCGAGCUGCUUCCCUCAUCCCCAAGGCCAAGAUCAUCACCAUCCUCAUCGACCCAUCUGAUCGGGCAUAUUCUUGGUACCAGCACCAGCGAUCCCAUGAGGACCCUACUGCCUUGAAAUUCAAUUUUUAUGAAGUCAUUACAUCCAGCCAGUGGGCGUCCUCAGAGAUAAGGACCCUCCAGAAGAGAUGCCUGACACCCGGCUGGUAUGCUGUCCAUAUUGAACGAUGGUUAACUCAUUACCCUGCUUCACAGUUGCUUAUUAUUGAUGGACAGCAGCUAAGAAGUGACCCAGCUACUGUGAUGGAUGAAGUGCAGAAGUUUCUUGGAGUCUCUCCUCAUUAUAAUUACUCUGAAGCUCUAAUGUUUGACCCUCAGAAAGGCUUUUGGUGCCAGUUAUUGGAAGGAGGGAAAACAAAGUGCCUGGGAAAAAGCAAAGGUCGGAAAUACCCACCAAUGGACCAAGAGUCUCGAGAAUUUCUGUCGAGCUACUACAGAGACCACAACGUGGAGUUGUCCAAGCUGUUGCACAGGCUGGGGCAACCCCUGCCCUCCUGGCUGAGACAGGAGCUGCAGAAGGUCAGGUAGCACACAAGGGCAAGGGACCCAAAUAAGGACGAUUUUCUUCACCGUCAAACCCCUUGCUUCUCCAACUCACUUGUGAUCAUCAGUAGAGGACCUCAUGAAUAACACUCCACUAAAAAAAAAAACAAAAUCCACAGAAGAUUAAUACCCACCCCACCCACUGACAGUACUGACAGAUACAAGCAUCGGACCCCUUUUGUCAGCUUUUGACAGAUAUGCAAAUGCUGACAGAUACAAGCAUCGACCCCUUUUGUCAGCUUCCAGGAAAUAAUAGAGAGCUACAUGGCAUUAUUCUUUAUCGAGACCAGGAUUUGUGCAUAGCUUAGUCCCUCUAUACACCAGGAAGUACCAGAAACUGUGUGUAGGAUGGAUUGACUUCAGCGUACAUGACAAACUGCAGUCUGUCAGGACCUGAGCAAAGGAUGGGAACAUCUCCCACUGGACCGUGAGUUUAUCCUUUUAGUGCGACUGCAAAGGUGUGGACCUGCCUAUGGAUGCGGUUCCUCUACCACUAUCCCAUCUAGAAAAGCUGCCAGAACUAAAUAAGGAUUUGCAAGCAAUGCAGAUUCUGAAGUAUUCAGUGCUCCAGUGACUGGAUAACUUUUCUAAGACUUCUUGUAAUUUCUGUACUAUUUCAGUACAAAAGACAUCUUGAUAGAGCUGAGGAAAAAUUCCUCUGUCCUGCCCAAGCUCUUUUCCUUGCCUUUUUUUUUUCCUUUAUCCUCCUAUGUGACAACAGCAAGUCCAGUUGAACAAGUAUUUGGUGUUGAAGAGAAAGGAGACCAAAAGACAUUUGGAUCACAUGAAGUACCUUUCUGGGGG